GACGAACGCUGGCGGCGUGCUUAACACAUACAAGUCGAGCGGUAAGGCCCCUUCGGGGGUACACGAGCGGCGAACAGGUGAGUAACACGUGGGUGACCUGCCCUCAGCUCUGGGAUAAGCCCGGGGAAACUGGGUCUAAUACCGGAUAUGACUUCAUGACGCAUGUUGUGGAGUGGAAAGCCUUGUGCGGCUGAGGAUGGGCCCGCGGCCUAUCAGCUUGUUGGUGGGGUGANGGCCUACCAAGGCGACGACGGGUAGCCGGCCUGAGAGGGCGACCGGCCACACUGGGACUGAGAUACGGCCCAGACUCCUACGGGAGGCAGCGAGUGGGGAAUCUUGCGCAAUGGGCGAAAGCCUGACGCAGCGACGCCGCGU
RNAcentral lists this ribosomal RNA (375 nucleotides) under uncultured bacterium. Its description in RNAcentral is "bacterial SSU rRNA". It matches the Rfam family "Bacterial small subunit ribosomal RNA", at positions 28 to 402 of the family's 1533-position model. The record is from RNAcentral.